GAUUCCAUGCUCGAUCAAGUUGGCUUUCAGAAUAUUUGAAUUGAGGUAAAACGAACACAGAAAAAUAAACACACAAAAGAGCUUGAGGUCGUCCCUGCCUAAUAAAAGAAAAAUAAAAAUAAAAUACUGCAAGCUCUACUUUUAGCCUCCAAAUACAAGUACUACGGGACAUUCCCCGGAAUAAAAUAUACACAAGUCCCUCGGGGAAUUCCCCGGAUAAAUUUAACUAAGGGAACAACCUCUCGCCUCAAAAUUAACAAAACUCUUAAGGCUUGCCUACCCAAAUGAUGACGGCCUAACAUGCUCCUAGCGGAUGCAAUAUAGCAAAUAAAAGAGAACUAAGUAAAAAGGAGAUUUCAUUCAUGCUCAAAUUCUUUUAGUCUCUUAAAUCCCAACCCUCAUAACCCGCAUUCAUCAAUAAAGAUAUAUGCACAAUGUGAUGUAUGGCAUUCAAAACAGAAAAAACACAAAAGAAAGAAAGGUGAAAAUAAAAGGCAUACUUAAACGUAAAUCACAUCAUCUAAAUGCAAACAAGGAAUUGGCAAUGCCAACUGAACAAUUUCUCAUAGUGACUUGCCAACACAAAGCAAGGAAAAUAACUACAACCUUGGCAUGGUUAACUACGGAAUUUGCAUCUUUAAAACUACUCUACAAGAAAGACUCAUGACUGAAAAUGAAUAUCAACGUCACUGACAUUGUGAUUUUAUGCUCCAACCCAUAUGAUGUCGAAACCUUAAGAUACUACUCUUAUGAAAAACACAUUUUCCUUUAACAGAGUGUUUCACCAUGUUUAAAUCCAUUUACAAAGGACAGAACACUAAAGUACUUCAAAUUUUAUACCAAGCCAGAAAAAGCAAACGCCAGAGAUGUCACACCCCUUCUUUUUUACAAACUCACCAACCCUCUUAAAUAAAUAAAAAAAGAUUUAGUAAAGCUUGAAAAGGGUUUUCCAAUUAGAACGUGACAAAAUUGUGUUCAAAAGGAAAUAACUCAGAGUCGCCACCUGACAUUGGUUUCGGUGUAUCCGGUCACCGUUUUUAUAAAAAUGAUUUUCCUUUUUAAACAUUUUGGACUCCAAAACUAAGUCUGCACCAGAGAUUCGGGUAAGGGGGUUCAUUUGACUCGGGGAUAAGGUGUUAGGCACUCCCCAAGUCUCGUAACUAGUACGGUUGCGUACUUGAUCAAGUUGACUUUCAGAAUAUUCGAAUUGAGGUAAAACGAACACAGAAAAAAAAAACACACAAAAGGGCUCGAGGUCGUCCCCGCCUAAUAAAAGAAAAAUAAAAAUAAAAAUAAAAUACUACAAGCUCUACUUUUGGCCUCCAAAUACAAGUACUAUGGGGCACCCGGAAUAAAAUAUACACAAGUCCUUCGGGGCAUUCCCAGGAUAAAUUUAACUAAGGGAACGACCUCUCGCCUCAAAAUUAACAGAACUCCUAAGGCUUGCCUACCCAAAUGAUGACGGCCUAACAUGCUCCUAGCGGAUGAAAUAUAGCAAAUAAAAGAGAACUAAGUAAAAAGGAGAUUCCAUUCAUGCUCAAAUUCUUUUAGUCUCUUAAAUCCCAACCCUCAUAACCCGUAUUCAUCAAUAAAGAUAUAUGCACAAUGUGAUGUAUGACAUUCAAAAAAGAAAAAACACAAAAGAAAGAAAGGUGCAAAUAAAAGGCAUACUUAAACGUAAAUCACAUCAUCUAAAUGCAAACAAGGAAUUGGCAAUGCCAACUGAACAAUUUCUCAUAGUGACUUGCCAAAACAAAGCAAGUAAAAUAACUACAACCUUGGCAAAGUUAACUACGGAAUUUCCAUCUUUAAAACUACUCUACAAGAAAGACUCAUGACUGAAAAUGAAUAUCAACGUCACUGACAUUGUGAUUUUAAGCUCCAACCCAUAUGAUGUCGAAACCUUAAGAUACUACUCUUAUGAAAAACACAUUUUCCUUUAACAGAAUAUUUCACCAUGUUUAAAUCCAUUUACAAAGGACAGAACACUAAAGUACUUCAAAUUUUAUACCAAGCCAAAAAAAGCAAACGCCAGAGAUGUCACACCCUUUUUUUUACAAACUCACCAACCCUCUUAAAUAAAUAAAAAAAAGAUUUAGUAAAGCUUGAAAAGGGUUUUCCAAUUAGAACGUGACAAAAUUGUGUUCAAAAGGAAAUAACUCAGAGUCGCCACCUCACAUUGGUUUCGGUGUAUCCGGUCACCGUUUUUAUCAACAUGAUAAUCCUUUUUAAACACUUUGGACUCCAAAACUAAGUCUGCACCACAGAUUUGGGUAAGGAGGUUCAUUUGACUCGGGGAUAAGGUGUUAGGCACUCCCCAAAUCCCGUAACUAGUACGGUUGCGUACUCGAUCAAGUUGACUUUCAGAAUAUUCGAAUUGAGGUAAAACGAACACAGAAAAACAAACACACAAAAGGGCUCGAGGUCGUUCCCGCCUAAUAAAAGAAAAAUAAAAAUAAAAAUAAAAUACUGCAAGCUCUACUUUUGGCCUCCAAAUACAAGUACUAUGGGGCACCCGAAAUAAAAUAUACACAAGUCCUUUGGGCCAUUCCCCGGAUAAAUUUAACUAAGGGAAUGACCUCUCGCCUCAAAAUUAACAGAAGUCCUAAGGCUUGCCUACCCAAAUGAUGACGACCUAAUAUGCUCCUAGCGGAUGAAAUAUAGCAAAUAAAAGAGAACUAAGUAAAAAGGAUAUUCCAUUCAUGCUCAAAUUCUUUUAGUCUCUUAAAUCCCAACCCUCAUAACCUGUAUUCAUCAAUAAAGAUAUAUGCACAAUGUGAUGUAUGGCAUUCAAAACAAACAAAACACAAAAGAAAGAAAGGUCCAAAUAAACGGCAUACUUAAAUGUAAAUCACAUCAUCUAAAUGUAAACAAGAAAUUGACAAUGCCAACUGAACAAUUUCUCAUAGUGACCUGCCAACACAAAGCAAGGAAAAUAACCACAACCUUGACAAAGUUAACUAUAGAAUUUCCAUCUUUAAAACUACUCUACAAGAAAGGCUCAUGAUUGAAAAUGAAUAUCAACGUCACUGACAUUGCGAUUUUAAGCUCCAACCCAUAUGAUGUCGAAACCUUAAGAUACUACUCUUAUGAAAAACACAUUUUCCUUUAACAGAGUGUUUCACCAUGUUUAAAUCCAUUUACAAAGGACAGAACACUAAAGUACUUCAAAUUUUAUACCAAGCUAGUAAAAGCAAACGCCAGAGAUGUCACAACCCUUCUUUUUUAUAAACUCACCAACCCUCUUAAAUAAAUAAAAAAAGAUUUAGUAAAGCUUGAAAAGGGUUUUCCAAUUAGAACGUGACAAAAUUGUAUUCAAAAGGAAAUAACUCAGAGUCGCCACUUGACAUUUGUUUCGGUGUGUCAGGUCACCGUUUUUAUAAAAAUAAUUUUCCUUUUUAAACACUUUGGACUCCAAAACUAAGUCUGCACCAGAGAUUUGGGUAAGGGGGUUCAUUUGACUCGGGGAGAAGGUGUUAGGCACUUCCCAUGUCCCGUAACUAGUAUGGUUGCGUACUUGAUCAAGUUGACUUUCAGAAUAUUCGAAUUGAGGUAAAACGAACACAGAAAAAUAAACACACAAAAGGGCUCAAGGUCGUCCCUGCCUAAUAAAAGAAAAAUAAAAAUAAAAAUAAAAUACUACAAGCUCUACUUUUGGCCUCCAAAUACAAGUACUAUGGGGCAUUCCCCGGAAUAAAAUAUACACAAGUCCUUCGGGGCAUUCCCCGGAUAAAUUUAACUAAGGGAACAACCUCUCGCCUCAAAAUUAACAGAAGUCCUAAGGUUUGUCUACCCAAAUGAUGACGACCUAACAUGCUCCUAGCGAAUGAAAUAUAGCAAAUAAAAGAGAACUAAGUAUAAAGGAGAUUUCAUUCAUGCUCAAAUUCUUUUAGUCUCUUAAAUCCCAACCCUUUUAACCCGUAUUCAUCAAUAAAGAUAUAUGCACAAUGUGAUGUAUGGCAUUCAAAACAGACAAAACACAAAAGAAAGAAAGGUGAAAAUAAAAGGCAUACUUAAACGUAAAUCACAUCAUCUAAAUGUAAACAAGGAAUUGGCAAUGCCAACUGAACAAUUUCUCAUAGUGACCUGCCAACACAAAGCAAGGAAAAUAACCACAACCUUGGCAAAGUUAACUACAGAAUUUCCAUCUUUAAAACUACUCUACAAGAAAGACUCAUGAUUGAAAUGAAUAUCAACGUCACUGACAUUGCGAUUUUAAGUUCCAACCCAUAUGAUGUCGAAACCUUAAGAUACUACUCUUAUGCACAUUUUCCUUUAACAGAGUGUUUCACCAUGUUUAAAUCCAUUUACAAAGGACAGAACACUAAAGUACUUCAAAUUUUAUACCAAGCCAGAAAAAGCAAACGCUAGAGAUAUCACACCCCUUCUUUUUUUACAAACUCACCAACCCUCUUAAAUAAAUAAAAAAAAAAUAUAGUAAAGUUGAAAAGGGUUUUCCAAUUAGAACGUGAUAAAAUUGUGUUCAAAAGGAAAUAACUCAGAGUCACCACCUGACAUUGGUUUCGGUGUGUCAGGUCACUGUUUUUAUAAAAAUGAUUUUCCUUUUUAAACACUUUGGACUCCAAAACUAAGUUUGCACCAGAGAUUCGGGUAAGGGGGUUCAUAUGACUCGGGGAGAAGGUGUUAGGCACUCCCCAAGUCCCGUAACUAGUACAGUUGCGUACUCGAUCAAAUUGACUUUCAGAAUAUUCGAAUUUAGGUAAAACGAACAAAGAAAAAUAAACACACAAAAGGGCUCGAGGUCGUCCCCGCCUAAUAAAAGAAAAAUAAAAGUAAAAAUAAAAUACUACAAGCUCUACUUUUGGCCUCCAAAUACAAGUACUAUGGGGCAUUCCCCGGAAUAAAAUAUACACAAGUCCUUCGAGGCAUUCAACGGAUAAAUUUAACUAAGGGAACGACCUCACGCCUCAAAAUUAACAGAAGUCCUAUGGCUUGCCUACCCAAAUGAUGACGACCUAACAUGCUCCUAGCGGAUGAAAUAUAGCAAAUAAAAGAGAACUAAGUAAAAAUGAGAUUCCAUUCAUGCUCAAAUUCUUUUAGUCUCUUAAAUCCCAACCCUCAUAACCUGUAUUCAUCAAUAAAGAUAUAUGCACAAUCUGAUGUAUGGCAUUCAAAACAGACAAAACACAAAAGAAAGAAAGGUGCAAAUAAAAGGCAUACUUAAACGUAAAUCACAUCAUCUAAAUGUAAACAAGGAAUUGGCAAUGCCAACUCAACAAUUUCUCAUAGUGACCUGCCAACACAAAGCAAGGAAAAUAACCACAACCUUGGCAAAGUUAACUACAAAAUUUCCAUCUUUAAAACUACUCUACAAGAAAGACUCAUGACUAAAAAUGAAUAUUAACGUCCCUUGACAUUGCGAUUUUAAGCUCCAACCCAUAUGAUGUCGAAAUCUUAAGAUACUACUCUUAUGAAAAACAUAUUUUCCUUUAACAGAGUGUUUCAUCAUGUUUAAAUCCAUUUACAAAGGACAGAACACUAAAGUACUUCAAAUUUUAUACCAAGCCAGAAGAAGCAAACUCCAAGAACGAACCAGAUGAUAUUCCCUCUUCAUCAAUUUUUUUUCAUUUUUUUAAUGAUAGCUGUAAAUCAAAUUAUUGAUGAAGCAUAUAGCUACAGUAUAUAUGAGAAAUAAGAAGGCACCAAAAUAACCUAAGCAGGGACCUAAUCAUCGAUGCAGUAAAUUUCAUACAUCACUGAUGUUAAACAAGUUCACUUUGACAUUGCAGAAAACUAGAGCAACAGUUGAUGCGCAGACUACCCCAACAGGUGCGGAGAAUCUAUGCAUGUGAUGCAAAUAUGGUGCGAAAAUGUAUAAAGAGUGGAGGAAAGACUAACAUCAACCUUAACCCUUCAAUUCCUAGCUACAUGCUCGCCUAAAUGGAAGUCCAACAACUAUGAGAAUGACAUUAAAAGGCUCACACAUUGUUACUUCAACUGAUGCAAGAUGAGAGGAAUCAAGGAACUAUUACCAACUGAAUGUAUAUAUAUUUUACACUAAAUCUCCUAACCAGCAACUACCAACGGGACUCAGCUAACAAGAAAGUUUAGAAAGAAAAUUCAUGGUGAACUCUCAAAAUUUUCAAGCAGCAAAGCCUAAGGACACAACUCAGUUCAUACAAUCUCCAACAAAUAACUCAAUUCAAUCUACGAUUCAAUCAAGAAGUUCGACUGAGUCUCUAACAAACAGUUCUGAUUUUAUGCUCCUAAUUCGACUUUCGACAAACAAAUAUCAAGAGAAUUUAGAGCAGAGUUUCAGUUUAAACUCAUGGAACUAAUCUCAUUAAACACGAAACUAGCCAAAUUUGCAACAGAGAAUGAUGAGCUAACGGAACAAUCUUAGUUCAUUUGUUAAUCUCAAAGUAACAGUGGAUCAAACAAUCUAUAAACUGAUCAAACCCGGCUCUCAUCCUAUUUUCAAUCAAACACCAAAGAUAGAUUAAGAAAAGAGAAGGAAAUUGAACCUGUUUGAUCGAGGCUUUGAUUAAUUUCGUUUUGAAUUGAAUAUAUCGGCAAUGAAAAUCCGAAUGAGACUGCAGCUAGAAGGCGACAGGAUGCAAAACCAACGAACUCGAACUCGAACGGCGAACUCGAUCUCGGCUCAAUCAAUCUCCAUGUUUAAACAUCAAUUAAAAGAAGAAACUAAAAUAUUUUGGGAUAUUUUCUGAUUUUUCAAAAUGGAAACCAGUUCGAACAAAAAUCUAAACUCACUAUUUUUUUUGUAUUUCUGUUUUUCUGGAAAAGCAAACCAAACAAAAAUCUCAAUAAAACUGAAGAGAACCCUAACUUUCUUCCAGUGUUUUUUUCUAAGUCUGUCUCCUAGUCCGAAAUUUUUCCAAAUUUUCCUCUAUUUUCUCUC
This 6880-nucleotide long non-coding RNA is filed under the name Nicotiana tabacum (common tobacco). RNAcentral describes it as "long non-coding RNA (NTAB_LNC008818)". The record is from RNAcentral. Lineage: Eukaryota; Viridiplantae; Streptophyta; Magnoliopsida; Solanales; Solanaceae.